RNAcentral lists this ribosomal RNA (382 nucleotides) under uncultured bacterium. RNAcentral's name for it is "bacterial SSU rRNA". It matches the Rfam family "Bacterial small subunit ribosomal RNA", at positions 28 to 409 of the family's 1533-position model. The record is from RNAcentral.
GACGAACGCUGGCGGCGUGCUUAACACAUGCAAGUCGAGCGGUAAGGCCCUUUCGGGGGUACACGAGCGGCGAACGGGUGAGUAACACGUGGGUGACCUGCCCUCAGCUCUGGGAUAAGCCCGGGAAACUGGGUCUAAUACCGGAUAUGACUCCAUGACGCAUGUUGUGGGGUGGAAAGCCUUGUGCGGCUGAGGAUGGGCCCGCGGCCUAUCAGCUUGUUGGUGGGGUGAUGGCCUACCAAGGCGACGACGGGUAGCCGGCCUGAGAGGGCGACCGGCCACACUGGGACUGAGACACGGCCCAGACUCCGUACGGGAGGCAGCAGGUGGGGAAUCUUGCGCAAUGGGCGAAAGCCUGACGCAGCGACGCCGCGUGAGGGAU